Molecule: ribosomal RNA, 497 nt
Filed under: uncultured bacterium
Lineage: Bacteria
Description: partial 16S ribosomal RNA
Rfam family: Bacterial small subunit ribosomal RNA
Source: RNAcentral
GAUGAACGCUGGCGGCGUGCCUAAUACAUGCAAGUCGAACGAACAGACGAGGAGCUUGCUCCUCUGACGUUAGCGGCGGACGGGUGAGUAACACGUGGAUAACCUACCUAUAAGACUGGGAUAACUUCGGGAAACCGGAGCUAAUACCGGAUAAUAUAUUGAACCGCAUGGUUCAAUAGUGAAAGACGGUUUUGCUGUCACUUAUAGAUGGAUCCGCGCCGCAUUAGCUAGUUGGUAAGGUAACGGCUUACCAAGGCGACGAUGCGUAGCCGACCUGAGAGGGUGAUCGGCCACACUGGAACUGAGACACGGUCCAGACUCCUACGGGAGGCAGCAGUAGGGAAUCUUCCGCAAUGGGCGAAAGCUUGACGGAGCAACGCCGCGUGAGUGAUGAAGGUCUUCGGAUCGUAAAACUCUGUUAUUAGGGAAGAACAAAUGUGUAAGUAACUCUGCACGUCUUGACGGUACCUAAUCAGAAAGCCCCGGCUAACUACGUG